GCAGCCCAGAGGAUUCUGGACAAUCACACUGCGGCUUCAGCCUCAGCUUGCUACAAGGAGGGUCCAUGGAUCCCAAGGCUGCAAUCGAGGCUGCUUGGCAAAGGUUCAAGGCAGGACUUGCAUCCAGAGACGAGGAGGCUGCCCACCCUACUGAAGGAGAAGGCCAAAGGCUCCAAAAGACUGAAAGGCAAGCUGAAAGAAGAGGUCAGACAUCCCAGCACAGCCUGGAGUUUUGCUGUGGCAGAGUCCCAAGGAUCUGGCUCACUUCUGGAGCAUCUCUUCACAA
This is a long non-coding RNA of Cervus elaphus (red deer), 286 nucleotides long. RefSeq lists it as uncharacterized. NCBI's taxonomy places the organism in Eukaryota, Metazoa, Chordata, Mammalia, Artiodactyla, Cervidae. The record is from RefSeq and is a predicted model, not a curated record. The transcript is spliced from 3 exons.